UAUUCUUCUUCUUAGGUUUAAGCUUUGUUGAAAUGCCUUCCAUUUGCGCUGCUUACUAGUUAUGUUUUAUCAAAACAUAUGCAAUGAAAAAACUAUCAUUUUAAUACAUUUAAGAAACAUUGUUCUAUAAUAAAUAUUUUUAUUAUAGAAAGUUAUGCACCCAACAGCUGGUUCUCUAGCUUAAGUUAUGCUUAAGUUAGUAAUUUAGCUGGAUGACCACAGUUGUGAAUGAGUAGUUUGAUAGGCUGGUUCUCUAGCUUCCAUGAUCAUCUUUUCUGGAUUCUAUGAAUAUAUUGUUUAUCAAGUUUCUCUGGACACAUAACAUAGUAUCUAAAAUUGGGGAUCGUACAACAACAACAAAGGUUUAAGGAUAGCUACAUACACAAACAUUUAAAUCAUAUGGUAUAACAUCUUGGCUCUUAUAUGUUAAAGAGAUGAUUAUAUUCAAAAUUGUAUAUUGAUCACACAGAAUCCUCUAUGGAGUUACUAAUUAAAUUGCAGAUGUCACUGCAUAUACCCUAAAAGAGNNNNNNNNNNNNNNNNNNNNNNNNNNNNNNNNNNNNNNNNNNNNNNNNNNNNNNNNNNNNNNNNNNNNNNNNNNNNNNNNNNNNNNNNNNNNNNNNNNNNNNNNNNNNNNNNNNNNNNNNNNNNNNNNNNNNNNNNNNNNNNNNNNNNNNNNNNNNNNNNNNNNNNNNNNNNNNNNNNNNNNNNNNNNNNNNNNNNNNNNNNNNNNNNNNNNNNNNNNNNNNNNNNNNNNNNNNNNNNNNNNNNNNNNNNNNNNNNNNNNNNNNNNNNNNNNNNNNNNNNNNNNNNNNNNNNNNNNNNNNNNNNNNNNNNNNNNACUCUUGAACAACAAAACAGAUCCAUGCAUAAUCCAAAUAUAAAACAAUACCAUUUCUAAUUUUUGGAUUGAUUUCCAUAGUGAAUCUAAUUACACCAAAAUGAAGAAGUUUGUGAUUGAACAUUGAAAGGCAAUGACACUUGCCAAAUGUUUUAAGCAAAGAUAGAUGUCACAACCCAGUGUGUCUGUCUUCCCAGAGGAUGAAAAGAGAACAUAUAUAUCUACGUACCUCACAAAAUUGCAAUAUUUUCCCAAAACAGAAAAAUGAGAGAUACUGCAUGAACACACUGCCAAUAAGAUACUUACCCAAAAUUGCAAUCCUUUUUUCCUUGCUUAUAUCACGAACUUUUACUGCAUGAACACACUCACUCAUCACAACACUACCAAGAAGAUAAAAACAUGCACAUCACAACACUACCAAGAAGAUAAAAACAUGCUCAUCACAACACUGCCAAGAAGAUAAAAACAUGCAAAGAGUCAUGCAUGCAAUGUGAGUAAUACAUAAAUGACUCAACCUCUCCAUGUCUUUCUAUUGCAUUGCAUAAAUUCUUGUCAAGGAAACUACAAACCAAACUUAAGAAAUGUUUUAAGAAAACUAACAAAAUGAUGAACUCAAGGCAGGGGUUGAUCCAAAAUUUGCUACACCAAAACAAAUCCAAAAUUAAUUCACUACUAGAAAACUAAAGAUCAAUAAUUCUCUCCUUAAUUUCAAUUACACCAUGUAAAAGGGUCAAAUUUCACUAUGAAUCCAGGACUGGUAAAAGCUAAGAGAAGCCUAAAUUACUUAGAAAUGGACAACUUAAAAAAGAGAGUAAAAAUUGCGAAAAAAAAUGCAUAAGGGGCAAUAGAGAAAGAAGCAAGAGUUCACUGACAAGUGGCAUGGCUGAACAGGGCAAGAAACAUAAACUUUUAAUGGCCAUGAUAUAUUUUCUUUAUCUUUUUUUCACAAUUAAUUCAGUACUUCAUAUUAAGUAGUUAAAAAUUCUGCCAGACAAAUCCUCCCCAAAUUACACGACCUCUAAACCCACAAGAACUGCCAGACUGCCAGUCAAACUACAAGGUUAGCAAUGAAUCCAACCAAAACUUAGAAUCCAAACAAGAAGUUUAGUCAGUCACAAAUAAAGACUCAAGAAUGGUAAGGGUAACAAAACCUAAAGCUUCACAAAUCCCCUGGGAUGUGUUUCCACAUCUUACCUCACAUAUCAGUCUGGAAAAAUAUGCUCUAUCUACAAUGUUUCAAAUAAAGGGGAGACAUCUUCCCUGAGCAUUUUAUUAUUACUAACCUAUGAUUUGCUAAAAAGAAUCAAACAAAAACAAUAUUCAAAUUUAUGUUUUUUAAUCCCUGCUGAAAAAGAACUAACACAAAGUUACAUAUGAUAGAUUUUUGUCAUCAAAUAAAUAACUACAUCCAAACUCAAGUAAGCAUCUCCUUCCAGUAUUUAGAUCUCCUACCUCACAUCCGUGGCUUGUUUUUCGUGUACACUAGCAGAUUUUAAUCCUUAACCGGUUUUACAUGCUAAAAAGAAAUGAACACAAACGAAUCAACACCUAGACAUAAAAAAUUUAAGAACUAUAUUUAAAUUCAAAUAGAUAUUGGUAAUAAAGACCAAGAAUUUAAGAAAGCAUAAGAUGAAUUGAAGGAAUAAAAAAACCAGAGAAAUUCAAAUAGUCAGUCCCAGUUAAAGACAAAAAUAUGUGUGGAUGCAAAGAAGAUCGAUAAUCAUGCAACACAAAUUAGGCAAGAACAUUGUUCCUUUGCACGAACCAAGUUCAAGUUCAAAAUUCAUUUGUCAAUGAAAGAAACUAAUAAAGUAUAUCUGACAGACACAUCAUAUAUUACAAACUUCAAUAAUCAACAAGAACUAUAUUCAAAUUUAUAUUUUUUAAUCCUCAACUGGAAUCAUGUUGAAAACGAACUAACGCAAGCACAUAAACGGUUACAUAUGAUAGAUCUAACAUAAAAUAAAUAACUACAUCCAAACUCAAGUAGACAUUUGUCAUGAAAGAAAGACAAAAAAUGUAGGAUAACAAAACCUAACGCAUCAAGGAUCUCCAUCCAGUAUUUAGAUAUCCUACCACACAAAGAAAUCAACACCUACACAUACAAAUUUUAAGAACAAUAUUUAAAUUCAAAUAGAUAUCAAUAAUAAAAACCAAGAAUUUAAAAAAGGAUAAGAUAAAUUAAUGAAUUCAAAAACCGGUGGAGCCUUAGUUGCUCAAAACACGCACGAUGAGGUAGAAGAUUCAACCCUUAGGCCUUAUAUAACAUACUCCAUGAUAUGGUGCAGGGCAUUAAGUGAAAAUAAUUCAAACAUCGAACACAAUUCAAUCCUUGGAGAUCAAGUAGAGAGAAAUUAAACAAUAGAGAGGAAACUCAUCAAGAAAUUAGGAUAUCCUGAGCUGCAGUCGUUUUAAACUCUUUUAGAGUUUAGGGUUUCAAAUAUCAAGUAGAAAAAAUUCAAUCAUCGAACACCAUUUAAUCCUUGGAGAUCAAGUAGAGAGAAAUUAGGGAAACAAAACAUAAUACUUCACAUCAUGUCCUACACUACACCACACAUCCAUUGCGUGCUUUCCCUGUACAGCCCAAAAAUUCAAGAAACGAAUUAGCUGUACAGCCAAAAAUUCAUGAAAACGAAAUAACCUCUUAAUAAAAAGAAGUAUAGAAAAAUGAUAAAAAUGAAGAUGCAGAUGCAGAUAAAGACUAAAAAAGACUUGGACAGUUACACAACCAAACACCACUGCAGACAAACACCAAUAAACAAAUCAUAAUCCAAUCCUUAUUUUCGGUGAUCAAUACCAGAUAAAUUAAAUAAUAGAAAGGAGACUAAAACAAGACUUGGAUCAAUUGGCCUUUCUAAACUAUUAUGUUUUUCAUUUCAUCGAUAGACAAAACAAAUCUCAAAACCAAGUCACCAGCAGAAAAGGGAUAAAGGAAUUUGAUCAAAAGAUUCAAAACUUGCCAUCAUCACAAAGAAUCACAUUCGGCGUAAAUGAAUCACAAUCCAAUAAAAGCACAUUAAUCACUUACAAAUAAUUUUUCUAUCCCACGACGCAAACAUCAUGUAAUUCUACAAAACCUUAUAGAGAAUCACAACAAUAACCGAAGCAAUACUAACAAAACUGAUCUUGGAUAUAUAUGUAAUACUAACCAAUGACUAAAUCUAAUAACCCAGCAACCAGAAACUAAAUCUAAUAACCCAGCAACCAGAAACACAGUGUUAGGGUACAAUCGAGAUGGAUUGAAAACGAAAGGAAAUGCAAAACUUACGAUGUUAGGGCACAAUCAAGAACACGGUCGUACUCCGGUCGCAAUGCUUGAAUGCUCAACAGAGAGAGUACUUCGGUCGCAAUGCUUGAAUGCUCAACAGAGAGAGUACUCCGGUCGCAAUGUGAGAAUGUUGUUGAUGCUGAGGAAAAGUGGAGUGAAGUGAGUAUUGCAUGGAGAGAAUUGCUUCAGAAUUGAAAAAUGAAAGAAGAAAAAGAAAAGAAGGGAUUAAAGUAAAGCAAAAAUAAAAAUUAAUUAUUUGUGUGUAAUUUGCAUGGGCUUAACCUUCUUAUUAUUUAAAUUUAAUUUUAAAACUUUUAACGUGGGCUUAACCUUCAAAUAUUUAAAUUUUAAUUAUUUUUAUAAUUUUAGUAGCUGCCAUUUCAACAACGCAACCAUUAUUAUUAUUUUUUUUUUGAAGUUUACGUGAGAAUAACACACGCUUUCCUCACACCUUAUUUAAUUUAUUUUAGGUUUAAUGGAUACUAUAUAGUGUCCACUUAUGGCCUUCAAUAUUUGUUUGCAGCUAAAUUAAGAUUUCUUUGUAAUGAAAUAACUUUUUUUUUACCACCAAAAGGAAUUUAGAAAAAACGAGAAAUUGAACAAUAAGAUGAACGAUGUGAUAAAGACCAAAUAAAAAUAUAUUAAGAAUAAAAUCAUUUUAGUGUUACUUAUAAAAGAAUAGUACACAUCAGAUUUCUCUGGUUACUGAUAAUAGAAUUUAUAUAAUAAAUAAAUUAUUCAUACGAGAUUACAUAAAACUAACUCAAAUUUAACCAUAGAUUGAUGACAGCUUCAUAUAUUGGAGUUUUUUUACGUGAAUUUUUUAUUAUUAUUAAGACUCUUAGGACCAAUCAAACAAUAGAACACAGUUUGAAGAGUCUUAUCAUGUACGCAACGAAGUACCAAAUAAAAUUUUGAGAUGUGUUACAACUAUACCUGGUAAAAGUGGGAUAGUCCAACCUCAUUAAACUCUUCAAGAAAAAAAUGUGAUCAUAUAGACUACUCCAUAAUUUCAACAAACACCAAUUUUCAGGUUUAGUUCCAUUCUAUAUUAUAACAUUUCAUUUUCACUUAGAAAAAAUAAAUUCACCUCCACACUUACAACUUUAUCUACUUAAACCAAUUUAAUCCAACUACGUGUUAAGAAUAUAAGUAUAAAUUUGAGUCUCAUUUAAUAAAUAUAAGAAGUUGAAUAACAAAUAACUAUGAAUAAAUAUAAAAAGUUGAAUAACAAAUAACUAAUCUUAAGUUUAGCACAAAACACAAUUAGUUCAACUAAAAACUUACAAAAAAUAUUGGAAGCAUCAAUGGAGCUUAUUGCAAUAAAAAAAAAUCUAAACAAAACAUUGUUUUGUUAAAAUGUGCAUCUAUUAGUUAAUAAGUUUAUUAUAAAACUUGUAUUGAUUUUCAUUUUCACUCAAAUUAUUUUAUUUUUUUAUAUCUUUAAUCAUGUAACGACAUGUUAUAUUCUUUUGUAGGAUAUCAUAUGAACCCGAGGGAUAAUUAAGACAAAGGUUUGGAUUUCUAAAAAUAAUAUUAAUAAUGCAAAUAAUAUUAAUAAUCUAAAUAAUAUUUAUAAAAAAAUUAUACUAGACAUUACAAACAUCUCACUUAUAUUGACAUUUCAAAUUUCAACCACCUCUAUUGAAAAAAAAAAUUAUUAAACAAGUAAAAAAAAAUACAAACAAGUACGAGAAAUUAAAACAAAAUCCAUACUAACCAUAAAAUACAUCAAAACUAAACAAGAGAAACAUAGUUAAUUUAUACCUAUUAUGGAAAAUGUUCAAGAAUAUAUUAAAAUAAUAUAUUAAAAUACAGUCUAUUAUACCAAAUAAAGUCUUACCUAUAAAGAAAGUCUAAAUUGACAGAUUUAUCAUUACCCCUCUUAAAAUAUGAAAGACAUACUUUUACAAUAAAUAAGACAUUUAUUUCAUUUAUUCUUAAUAAAUCAUCAAGUCACAUGAGUCAUAGAAGGAAAAGCAAAGCAAACUAAUAUGAUUCACACUCUUACCAUAAUAAAUUAUAAACCAAUGUAAAUAACAUUUAAUGAGGGAUAAAUUUUUUCAAUAAAUAAUAAUAUUUUUUAAUUUAUUUUUAGUUAUUUGUGAAUCUCAUUUCGAUUUGAUAUUUAAUUUGAGUGUCAUAUUGUCAUUAACCAAUAUUUAAUUGUUUUUUCUCUUAUUCUAUUAUUGUGUCAUUCCAUUUGGAGCAAUAGAGGGGCUAGUUUAGUGUAUGUGUUGGCAUUUGAUUUGUUCCUUUUCGGUAUGUUCGUACAAGGUAAAAUCGUAAAAAGGAAAAAUUAGAAAACUGUCUUGUUAGAGUAUUGUGUUAGCAUAAUAUUGAUCUCAAAAUAAGGUUAUUUUGUAUGUUAUUGUUUUAUAAAUCUCAAAACAAAUUUUGCAGGUUCAAGAAAAAGCUUUGGAAUAUGGAAAUUAAAUAUAAAUAUUUAUCAAAGAAUAGAAAAAUACUUCAAGUUAGCAUGUUCCUCAAUUGGAAUAUCGAUCUCAAAAUAAGUUUAUUUUUGUACUUCACUAUUUUAUAAAUCUCAAAAAAAAAUUGCAGGUUCAAGAAAAAGCUUCGGAAUAACAAAAUUAAAUUUAAAUAUUUAUCAAAGGAUAAAAAAAAAAUUAAAAAAAAAAUACUACGAUCAAGUUCAUUUUCUUGAAAACUUUACGAGCUCUAAAAUAAAUAAAAAAUACAACUAAUUAUUCAGAAAUUUAUGAACUUGGAAAUUUUUAAUUUUCAUUAAGAAUAAUUAUUUUUUAUGAUAUGUUAUUUGCAAUUAAUUAAUCUAGUAAAAAAUUACAAUCAAAUAACGAGACUAUUGAUAAAUUAAAAGGUAUUCGUUUAUUUUAUUUCUGUAAAUUAUAGGAAAAAUGAAUUUGAAAAUGCAUUGUCUUCUGCUAAAGAAAUUGCUUUUGAAAUAGAUACAGAGUAUAAGUUAUGUGAAAAACAUGGUAGAUCUGUUGAUAAUAUAAGUUAUGUGAAAAACAUGGUAGAUGUGUUGAUAAUGAAAUUCUAAAAUCUCCUAAAAAAUCAUUUAGAUUUUAUGACUUUCUAUACAUUCAAAGAAAACAAUUAACUCCAAAGUUGAUUUAAGAAUUCAAAAUAUAAGAAAAUAUGAAAAAUAUUUGAAGAAUAAUUUCGUGAUAUUGAUGGAUUAUAUUUAUUUUCAAAAUUUAAUAUCUUAAAAGAAAUGACAGAAUUGAAAAAUAAUAACUAAUUGACCUUCUAAAUCAUAUAAAAUAAAUAAAUUAUUUUCCAAAUAUAUAUAUAAGAGAGGGAUUACAGGUAAUAAAAUAAUAUAAAUAUUCUAGUACUACCAAUAUAAUCAAGAAAUUAAGGUGAAUGAGAAUUUAUAUUUUUUUUCUCCAAUCCAUAAAGAAAUGUUUUAAAAAAAAUCAUUAUAAAAGAUCGAUCUAUUAUAAAGUGGAUUUUAAGCUUAACUCAAUCCCAUAAAACUGGUUUAAUCCCAUAAAACUGGUUUAUAGGGUUGAGGAUUGCACCCACUUAUAUACGAUGAAAGACUCUAAUCUCUAGUCGAUGUAGAUUCCAACAUCAACCUCAAAUAAUAUUUCUUGUAAUUAAGAUCAAAACAGUAAACGAUUACAAUAUCGAUUGAUUUCGUUGAAAUGAUUUUUUUAAAACUAAAAGUUACUUAAUAUUAUCAACGAAACCCGAGGCUCACCUCUCCUUUGACCAUGUUAAUUCACAAUCUCUUUCACUAUGCCAUUAAAUGAGUUUGGAACAAGUUUUGUCUUUCUCACCGUCGUCAUGCUUCCCAAGGACCCAUUCACUUAACUCUUCGUGCGUUCCAAUGCAAACAAGUCAGGGUUUUGAUUUGCUUCCUACGAAUCCAAAAUUAGUAACUACAGAAUGUUGUUUGUUGUUGACUCUACAAAUUUAGGGUGGGAAAGAAAAGUUUAUAUCAUACUACUCCACUUCAUAUGCUACUUCAUUUGAUUUUUUUAUUGGUUGUUCUUUGAUGAAGUUUUUCAUUGCUGUUGAUGUUCUUGGUGGUUCUUUGGUCAAGGUGUCUAUUGCUACACGGUGUGUGGGUGAAUUUGUUGGUGACUAGAUUUUUUUGUUAUCAUGGGCUGGUGCAUAGUUGUACCUUUUUUUUUUCAUUGAAAAUUUAAUUUGUAUGGGUGAAAUCUAAACUAUAAAGAUGAUGAAAUUUGCUAAUUCUAGAAUACGUUGUGAUUUUGCAACUAUUUUAUUUUACUUCUACUAUGUGUGAAUUUAGUAAGGUUGAAACCAUCUUGAAAUCUUUUUUAUAUUUAUUUAAACUAUGAUUUGACUCUCGCUAUUUGUUUAUAUUUUAAUAUUAAUUAGGACUUAAUCCUCUUUAAGUUAGAGUAUGUUAAGGUUGCGACCUCUCUAGGUUAGAGUAAGCAAGGUCUUGAUCCUCUCUCUAAUUUAGAGUUAAAGUUUUCCAAUUUCCAAUAAACAACUCUUUUACGUUGUUAAGCCCACUCUAUUAACGAGAGUCCAAUCUACAUUAUUAGUUUCCACUUAGAGAGGACUUAUGAUUGUUAUAGGUUGACGUAAAUAAAAAAGUCAUUUUCAAUCCGUUCACGGUGUAUGGAACACUAUAUGUCCACAUUAAUUAUAAUGUAACGACUUCUUUUUCAAUUUUAGUCCAUCUUUGACUCAUGCUAUAGACAUUUUUCUUGUAAUUUGAUAACUUUGGAUAUUAGAAUGAGAAAUUUUUCUCGGUCAUCAUCCACUGAAUUUGAGUGUUGGAGUGACUAAUAACUCAAUUAAGGGAAACUUCAAAAUAUUAAUUCAUAAAUCACAUUUAUUAUAGAUAUAAAUGUAAAUUUGAGAAUAGGGAAUUAUGAUUGUAUUAAAAAAUAAAUAUUAUUUGUGUGUUUUUAUAACAUGAUUGAUAAAACUUACGUAACCAUUUAAAAUUAAAGCGAAAUAGGAUUAAUUGAGAAAUGUAUCGAUUAGCACAUGUAUGUUCUUUUCAACGGCUUUGGUGACCUAAUUAGAAAACGUCAAACUAUACUGGCAACCUAACUGGAAAACUUCAAACUAUACAGCCAUUCCAUUACUUGUGGAGUAAGGCAAAAAUGCCUUUGUGUUUACUUUUCUAGUAUACGUGCAAGUGUACAGGUCCACUAAUUUCGCAUAUGGUUCUUUCAUUGGCUUUUUAUUGAGUAUAGAUAUGAAAUAUAUUUGGUCCACGUCAAAAAGAAAAAGAAUUGAAAGCGAAACCAAAAAGCGAAAAAAAAAGUAGAAUUAGAAAAUUAAAUAAAUGUUGAAGUUAUUUGAUAAAAUAUAAAUAAUUAUGUUUUCUAUUUCAUUUCUCCUAUUGCAUCAUAUCACGUGACCUAUUUAUAUUCAUAUUGAUUUACUAGGAUUAAUAGUGUUGGAAAGGAAAUAUCAAUUUUGUUUCUUCUACAACUUAACAAUUAACUUAAAUGCUUGUUUGGUAUUGUUAUAAAUCUGAGACUUAGACUGAAAAGUGAAUUGUGAACUUAUGUUUAUUAUUAGAUUAAAAAGUGAGUUGUGAACUUAGGUUUAUUAUUAUAAAUUAUUUAUACUUAUUUUAUUUGUGUAGUAAGUUACGUGUGUUUUUAUUAGUUGAAUGGUGUUGGUUAUUAAUUAUGAUUUCUAUUAUUAAUACUGAUUUCACCGUUAUACCGUUAUUGUUUCAUUAAUGGUUAGUUUACUUAUUUCCUUCCAUUAGUUUCCUACAAUUGGUAUCAAGAGCUAGUCUGUUAUCAUGAACUCUACCCAAUUACUAGUCCUAUGGAAAAAAUUACAAUCAGUGGUGUGUGCAAAUGAGAGUUUUUUUUAUUAUUUAUUAUCAUGAGUUAUGGGAUGUCGUUGAGGGUGGAGUGGUUGCAUUAGCUGUUAAUGCAAUUGAGGCGCAACGAGUAGCGCAUCAUGAUGACAAUAAGGCUUUGUAUCUCAUCCAUAGGGAUGAAUGACAAGACGUUUGAGAAAAUAUAAGGAGCAACAACUGCAAGUGAUGCUUGAAUCAUUUUGUCAACCAAUUAUAAAGGGUGAUGACAAGAUCAAUAGGGUGCGUCUUCAAACCCUAAGACGCCAAUAUGAACUGUUGCAGAUGGAAACCACAUAGAUUAUUGAUGUCUAUAUAAAUAAAGUUCUUGCCUUGACAAAUCAGAUGAAAAGCAAUGGUGAAACACAUUCGGAGCAGGCAAAGGUGGAGAAGAUUUUGAGGUCUUUAACUCCCAGAUUUGAACAUGUUGUUGCCGCAAUUGAAGAGGCCAAUGACAUUUAAAAAAUGACAGUAGGGUUAUUGUCUGGUUACCUACCAGCGCAUGAGCAGCGAAUGAAUGACAAUAAUAUUGAAAAACCAAUUGAACAGGCUUUACAAGCACAAGACUCAAUUGGUAGCUCUUAUCAUAAACACGGUAGUUCACGAGGCAGAGGACGGGGACAUGGUGGUAGCUAUUCCAGCAAAGGUCGUGGUGGCUAGAAUCAUGGAGGCGCUGAGCAAAAUAACAUUGGUUUCAAUCACAUUCCAAGUUCAAAUAACUCUUGACGUGGAGAACGUGAUCGCGGAGGAUGAGGAGGCAUUUAUAAUAAAUCAAAUGUGGAGUGUUAUAACUGUCAUAAACGCAACCAUUAAGCAAAUGAGUGCAGAUCAAAAAGUGAUAAUCAUGCUGCCAAUUGUGCUCAAGAAGACAGUAAUCACGUACAAGAUGAAGAGGAUCAUGCAUAACUAAUGACAGCCACAUCAAAUGAAACUCCAAACAAUCAGACUUGGUAUUUGGAUACAGGUUGCACAAAUCAUAUGUGUGGUCAAAAGGAGUUGUUUGCAUAUUUGGAUGACUCAUUUUGCACAAAAGUGAAAUUCGGUGAUGGCAGGGUCGUUCCGGUGACUGGAAAAGGGCGAAUUCUUAUCACAUUGAAGAAUGGUGAUCACAGGUACAUAUAUGAUGUUGUCUAUGUACCUGAUAUGAAAAGUAAUUUGUUGAGUAUGUGACAACUGGCUGAGAAGGGUUAUGUGAUGUACAUAGUUGAAAAUAAAUUCUCAAUUUUUGAUAAAAAAUGUAGUUUGAUUCUUAAAACCUUUUUAUCAAAAAACCGUAUGUUUCCAGUAGAUAUUCAUAUGGGUGACUUCAAGUGCUUGAAUGCAAUAGUGAAUAAUGAAUCGUGGUUAUGGCAUUUACGCUUUGGGCACUUAAAUUUUCAGAGUUUGGAAAAUCUCUCCAAACGAAAUUUAGUGAAUAGUUUACCCCAUAUUUAUCACCCUGAUCAAUUGUGUGAGACUUGCAUUUUUGGAAAGAAUCACAGGAUACCAUUUGUUAAGGAGCCUUGGCGUGCAAAAUUUCCUUUGGAGCUUGUUCAUAUAGAUGUUUGUGGCUCAAUGAACAUAUCAUCAGUUGGAGGUAAUAAGUAUUUUUUAACCUUUAUUGAUGAUUUUUCAAGGAAAACCUGGAGUUAUCUAUUGAAAAGCAAGGAUGAGGUAUUCCACUGCUUUAAAAUAUCAUAUUUAAAGCAUUUGUUGAAAGACAGAGUGGCAGACAAAUUAAGAUGAUGCGUAGUGAUGGAGGGGGUGAGUACAAGUCUAAUGAGUUCAAGAGGCACUGUGAAGAACUUGGAUUGCAACAUAACAUAACAUGUCUCUACACACCUUAACACAAUGGAGUUGUCGAGAGAAAGAAUAGAACAAUCAUGGACAUGGCGUGGAGCAUGCAUAAAGCGAAAGGUAUGCCAAAUUAUUUUUGGGCUGAGGUCGUAACAUGUGCGGUAUAUUUGAUAAAUAGAUCACCCACUCGGAGUGUUCCUAACACAACUCCGAUUGAGGCAUGGAGCGGAUUCAAACCCAAUGUGCAACACUUGAAGGUAUUUGGGUCUAUUACUUAUGCUCAUGUCCCCAAAGCAGCAAGAUCGAAGUUGGAUGAUAAGGCAGAGAAGACCAUUUUCAUUGGAUAUAAGCAUGGGGGAUACAAAUUGUACAAUCCAAUGACAAAGAAGGUGAUUGUUAGUUGUGAUGUUACAUUUGUCGAAGAUGAGGAAUGGCAAUGGAAUGCAACAGUUGAAAUUGAUUAAAAAAAAACGAUAUAUUUACGUUUUGAACGAUGAUGUGGAAGAUGGAGUCACUCUUGAAGCACCUGCAGUUCAACCAGAAGCUGCAAUUCAACCUGAAGUUGCAAAUCCAAUUGCAACUAUGAUGGAGCGACCAAGAAGGCAGCAACGACAACCUGUACACCUUCAAGAUUGGCGAAGUAAAUCUUGAUGAUGAAGUUGAUGACAAUGGAGAUUUGGUUCACUUUGUUUUUCUUGCAGAUUCAGAACCCAUGAGACUUGCAGAUGUCAUUCAACACCCCAAAUGGCAGAAGGCUAUGAAUGAAGAAUUGAUGGCGAUUGAGAAAAACAAUAUCAUGACUCAAAUUUGUUUUAAUCCAGAUAUUCCAAUUAAGAUUUAUGUUGACAAUGUCUCUGCAAUUAAUCUUGCAGAGAAUCCAGUUUUUCAUCAAAUAAGUAGUCACAUUGAUAUUCGAUAUCACUUCCUGCGAGACCAAGUUAAGAAGAACAUGAUCAAAUUGGAAUACUACAGAUCAGAAGAUCAGAUUGCAAAUAUUUUCACUAAGCCAUUGAAGAUCAAUGCUUUCAUCAAGUUAAGAAAUCUGUUGGGUAGGAAGGUUGCUCCAAAUCAGAAUUAAGGGAGGAUGUUGGUUAUUAAUUCUGAUUUUAUUAUUAUUAAUUCUGAUUUUAUUAUGCUUAAACUAUUUUACCGUUAUUAUUGCAUUAAUGGUCAGUUAGUAUUCCUAUUUUAUAACUUCCAGUAUUUGUAAUUUUAUUAUAUAUAUUAUAUAUAUUAUUGAGUAAAUCAAAAUAUAUGAUACCAGCUCAACAGUUUUGCAAUCUUGUGCAAUUACCUUCAAUCAGUUUCUACAACAUUUUGCCUUCUCUUAUUUCCUUCAAUUAGUUCCUACAAAUGAGAAUAUAAUUAAUAUAAUUAUUUAAUAAGAAACUUAUAUACCACCUCAAGUUAUUUUGGAGUCAAAAUAUUAUAGGAAUGGUUAUCAAUGAAUGAUUUACUAAAAGUGGUAAAUUUUCUUGAGGUUUUAUGAAUGUGAAACCUAAAUAUGUAAAUUUUGAUAGUCAAAAGACUAAUCCCUUUAAGAAUUAAUAUAUUUCAAUAAAAGUGAUUGGAUAUGGUUUUAGUUUGGAGUCAACAACUUAAAGAGACUUGUGUCAAUGUGUAAUCUAUUCUAAUCCACAUAGGUUGAACUCCUAUUAAGGAUACAUAAAUUUUUAAUCUGAUCAACAAGCUAAAGAGAUUGUAUUAAAAAUAUUUCAGUAGUCUAACAGUGGUUGCGAAUUCACGUGAUAUGUGUAGCUCUCAAAGUAAAUAACUUGUUUUCCAAGCUAUCCAAAGAGAUCAAUAUACUUGUCUCCCAAGAGAUUUAUUACUACCCAUGUCAUUUAGACACAAAUAUUUAUGAUAUUGGUAAAAUUAAAAAAAAAUAACUUUACCUACAAAUAGUUAAAAUAUUUGAAAUAAGUGAAGUAAAUGAAUAAUAUAAAUUUAUUCAGAGAUUAUUUAUUAUGAUAAACCUAAUUUAUUUUAAAAGAAUAUAUGACUAAUACAUUUUUUACUUACUCAAAUAUAGUUUAAUUUAUUUUAAAAAAAAUCCAAAAGCUAAAACUUUAGAACAUAAUAUUUUAAAUGUUUUACUUUACACGUGUAAUCCUUAACUAUUUAAAUGUUAUACAAUUAUUAUAGAUAUAAUAACUAUUUUAAAGAAAAUAUUUUAUUUAUUUUAUACAUUUUUCUUACAACAACAAAAUAAAAACCAUAGAUAAAUCCCACUCUUUUAGUGUUUUUUUUUUCUUUCUCUUUUCUCAAUUUGCCAAUUUGCCGUCAUUGUUGAAGAUCUCACCCACUAAUCAAAGUCAUAUUUGAUGUGAAUGUUCUCUUCAAUUCAAAGUUUAUCUUAAUAUUAUGCUAAACUUAGACUUAGUCUAAACCUUACUGACUUGAUUUCAACUUUUCUUUAUAUUUCUUCUUUUUAUACAUAACUUUUCAAACUUUUAAUCUUACACAAAAAGCAUGUCAUUCUUCUCUGACAACAUUUUAUUUCAAUUUUUCUUGAUGGUGUGCUUCAUUUGAAAUUUCAUUUUACUUUAUAUUUCAAUUUUGCUCAUAAGUUAUGAUUGGAGUUUAUUCUAAUUUUUUCCAGUGUCUUAAUAUUUUUCCAUAGUGUGUUUGAUUUUUUAAUUUUCUAUGCAAAAAUUAGUGUUAAUAAUUGUGUCUAACUUUUCUUGUACUCUGUCCUUUAGUUUGAAUGCUUCAUCCUCUGUUCUGCUUCUAAUUUUUCUUAUAUUUUAUCCUGUGUUUUGAAUGCUUAAACUUUUACACUUGUUUUAACCUGUUUUGCUAUUAAUUGUUGUUUACUUGUUGUGAUAUAAGGUUUGCGUGAUUAGUUAGUUGAUGGCAUACAAGUAAUGAAGAACUUUUAAGUAACACAGUUAGUUAAUACUCAAUUAUUAAAAUAUUGCAAGACAUUUCUUAAAAGUGUUUUAUGUUUUAUGUAAUUGUAUUUACCUAUAAUGAAGUUGAUAGCGAAAGAAAUAUUUAAUACUUUUUUUUUCUUUUUUUUUUCUUUUGGAAGGAAUCGAGGGAUACAAACUAUAUCUUCAUAUAUGGAAAAUUAAUUUAGUUAUAUCAGUUGCUAAGUGAAGAUCAAGAUCAUUUGUUUAUUAGUGUGUACGUAUUGAUGUGUUUUGGGAUUAUUAAAAUUUGACGUGUUUGAUAAAGAGUGAUUUAUUCAUAAGUAAACUAUGUUUUGGGAUUAUUAAAUUACGUAUUGAUACUUUUAUUUUCGUGAGGGGAAUGCAUGUGCUGAUAAGUUGACUAAUUUAGGGUUCAUUCAUAGAUAAUCAUUUUAUUGGUAUAAUAGACUUCUAUCUAGUAUGUUCUUAGAAUUCUUUAUGAAUAGGUAUAGUCUACCUAUGUAUCGUUUUUGUUAACAUGUGAGUUUUGGUCUAAUCCUCCCAUAUUUUGGUAUUUUUUUUCUUUUUUUUAAUAAUAUGUUUUUCAUGUGAUGGCAGAUGAUUGUUGUUACUUGAGGUGUCAGCCUAGCUGAGAUGUCAAGUUGCAUAAUGAUGUCUAACAUGGAAAAUUUUAUAAAAAAUAAAAAAACAAAAAAAAACUAUGGUUUUUGUUAUUGAGAAAUUGUUUUUAAGAAAGUGUUGAUUACAAAUUACUAUUUUUUUUAAAAAAAAAUUGUUUUGAACAUCGUAACAUCUUUUUAAUGAAAAAUAUUUAUUGCAUAUAGGGGCUUUUAACAAGUUUGGAAUUGAGUGGAAAUUGGUGUUGGUUUAUGUUGCAAGUUGAUGGUUGAAUCAUAUUCAUAGAUAGAGUUGGUACUUUUUAAUAAUGUAAUUUAGUAUAUUAUUGAUAUUUUAAAAUGAUAAAGAGUGUGUGUAUAAUCUCAAUAAUAUAUGAUUUAAAUGUAUUAAAAAUUGAACUUUAAACAUAAAUCAACUUUAAAAAAUCGACUCAUAAGUUAAGGUUUGCACUUACUUAUAUAUUAUGAAAUGUUUUUAUCUUUGGUCGAUGUAGGAUUUUCAACAUUUCCCUUCACGUCAAGAUCUAUCAAUUCGUGUGUGAAACUAUAUAUUUAUAGGUGGUCAGAUAGCAACCGACCUUAUAAGUCUAACAAACUCUCAUUAGGAUAAACUGUAAAUGACUCUAAUACCAUAUUAAGAAGUGAAUUUUAAGCUUAAUUCAAUUUUAUAAAAUCAAUUCAUAAGGUAAUAUUUACACUCACUUAUAUAAUAUGAAAUGUUUUUAUUUCUAGUCGAUCUGAAAUCUCGAACAAAAUGUGAAAAUAUUCAAUUUUACAAGUAUGAUUAUUAUAAUUAUUAAAUAGGAGAGAUAUGAUUAUUAAGAUCUCAUUACUUGUAUUAUAAAAAAAACCCACGAACUAAAUUUUGUAUUGAUAAAAACUUGAGGAUUGUGGUUGAAAAGGCAGAACAAUUGUAAGAAUUAUCUUUUCAAGCAUAAUACAAAGUAUUUCUUUGUAAUUGAUAAAAAUUUAAACUGACACAUCAAAUAUUUAAAUUAUAUUAUUGAAAAUGGGUUCAUAGAUGAUUUAAAGAAGUAUAUGGUACAAGUUGAAAAUUUAAGAGGUUUUAAAGCAAUAAUAAUCAUAAAAUUUGGAGGAAUGACGUCCAUUCAAAAGUGAUAGGAUGAAAAAAGAAAGACAUGUAUGUUGUUUUAAUAGACUUCCACCAACUAAAUAUUUAAAUAUCUCAUCUCAAAAUUCUAUAACAGAGAAUAAGAUUAACAAUUUAGAAAAGAUUUUUAAAAAUCUUUUAUCUUUUCUUUAGAAAACAUUUUUAAAAAUCUUUUAUCUUUUCUUUAGAAAACAUUUUUAAAAAUCUUUUAUCUUUUCUUUAAACAUGAUGAGUGGUAAUUGUUCUUGCCAACAAUGUGGAAUCACAUCUUCAAGGUAGUCUCCGAACAAUCUUUCGGUAUUGUAGUCCUUGAGUGCUUGAAGAUCACCAAGUGAUGAGGGGAGCUCCACUCGUUGACAAGACUUCGACAAUCAAAUCAGUGAGAACAUUAAAUAUUUCAAUGUAGUAUGUAUUGCAUAGAAUAAUACUUGUCUUUGUUUGGGGACUCAUGACCCUUAUAUAGGACUCGUAGAUCCUUUUUUAGGAGUUUGUAAUCAGACACUUCCUUUGAACUUUUAGUUACACGAUUCGAUUUGUUGGACUCGAUCCGACUGACCCGAAAACGUCUAUUGAGUCCGAUCCAUUGGACCGAAAACACCCGAUCCACAUUAUCGGGUUCUACCCCGAUCUUGACUGAACGAUACAGUAAUAUACAAAUUGUAAAUAAAAAAUAAAAAAUAUAGUAAUUACAUUUAAUCAUCUAUAAAAAAAUUUAAUACUAAUAUGAUAUUUUAAAAAGAUAUUUUUUUCGGAAACACUUGAUGAUGAUGGAAGGAUUGAAAUUAUUCUAAUAGUAAUGUUUAAACACAGUAAAAAAAAGUCAAGUGAUAUGAUAAUGAUUGAAAAUUUACUUUUAAAUACAAUUAUCAUUUUUUACUAUAAGAUCAAUUUUUUUAAUGUGAUUACAUAUAUUUUAUAAAUGAUGUGGAUUUUUAUGGCCUGUACACAUCAUUAAUGAGUGAGAUAAUAUGUUUAAUCAUUUGCCAUUUAAUUUUUAGUACUUUCAAUGAACAAAUGAGAUUCAUAUGUAAGAAAUUUAGCAUCGAUUAUGACUCAUAGGACACAAAAUGUAUUUCAUUGAGUUGAGUGUGGUAUUUCAAUACCUAAUUAAUAUUUUUUUUGUCAUUAGUAAUUUGGUAUUGAUUUAAAAUCGAAAUUGUUGUUGACUAUUAAGAUUUAUUUGCUUUUGUAACUAUUAUGUUUUCCUCUUAUAAAUUUUGUUUAUAUUUUAGAUUAUAAAGUUGUUGUAAAACAUUGCAAAAACUUUUCUUAGUGGUUUUUAUCUAGUACAAUCAUUUAUAUUUUAGUGGACUUUUAUUGAAUUGAAUACACCCUACUCCAAUAGCCUAUGACGAGUCACACAAAUUUCAUUUGACAACAAAGAAUCUAUAGGGACAAAAAGUGGAACUUAUAGAGAAUCUUUAAAUUCAAAUUGAUAUUUUGAAUAAGUGAACAAAAAGUUAAACCCAUUUAUUAUAGCCAUUGUUUCCAAAAAUAUUUAAUAGUGAAUAUUUGAGCAAAUAAUGUAGAAUGUAUUAUAGCUAAAGACAAACAUCAUAUUAUUGUUUGGUACACGGAAAAUGUUAUAUUAUCACAAUUAUCGGUAUAUAUUAAUAAAUUUAUUCUCAAAAUUUUAACUAAUAAAUUUAUUCCACCAUUUUAUACAUGGACUAUAAUGAUAGAUUGUUAAAUGCCCUUAAAAUUUUACAUCACACUUUAUAUAGUAAAAAUAUUAUCAUGAUAUCUAUUACAAUGAAAGAAUGACAUAAACAAAAAUAUUUUGGUAUUAAAAUAUUAACGAAAAAUAAUAAAUUAUAUGGUAUUAUUAGUAAAGUAAGGAACUAAAAAUUAUUGAAGUUUUUGUGGAAUAAACUCAUACGGAAUAAUAUGUCAAAAAAAUUAAUUGAACUUAACAAUUGUUUUUUAUUAGCUAUAAGAAUGAAAUUAAUAAAGAUAUAUAUUUUAGAGAUAUAUUAACCUUAUACAAAAUCAUCAUUAUCAAACUUUCAUCUUGCAUUAAGUCUAUAAUGAUAUUAUACUCAAAACAGAUUAAUCAUACUAAAAACCACAACAUAAUCUAUUAAUCCAAACUUCUUAAAAAUGAUGUUCUUCUCAUAUUGAAUAUAUAGUUUUUAUUGAAGUUAAUAGUAACUCAUCAUGAUUAAAAAACAUGUUGUUUAGAGUUAAUUUUGUUUGAUAGACAAUUAUAUCAUCUAACUAUAUUACUUUAUUGUGUAAUUCCACUAUAUUGAUAUAAGUCUCAAUUUGAUGUACGGGAAAAGAUAGAAAAGAAAGAAAUGGGAGGAGUACAUUUGUUUAGUUAAUUAAAAAAGCUAAAUAAAUAUGUUUAAAAAAUUGUGAAACUGUGAAGUAUAUGAUAAGAAAAUCUGAACUUGUAAAUAUUUAUAACUAAAGUCUGCAAAAAGUAUAAAUAUUUUAAUUAUUUAUUUGUUAAAAGAGUGAAUAUGGAUAUCAUGCUAUUUAGUUAGCGAAUGUUCACUGUCCAUUAUUAAUUAUUUUUAUUUGAAUAUAUUUUUUAAUUAAGCAAUUGAGUAAAAUUAUUAACGAGAAAACAUUAAAAAUUGAUGAAUUAUUUAUAACUUAAUUUUAUAAAUGUAUAGUUUUUAUUUAGACUUGUGGAGCUAAAAUUAUCUUCAAAAGAUUAAUUUUAUUUAAAGUUAUAUUGUGAAGAAUUUUUUUAGAAUGAUUAAUUUUUUUCUAAUAAUAGCUUAUGAAACAUUUUUAUUAUAAUUAUACAUUAAUAUCAAUAUUUUAUCUUAUUUUAUUUUAUGUUUUAAAGAAUAAUUUUUAAAUAAUAUUAUUUUCUUAAAAGAAGGAUCCACGUGUAUCUAUUGAAAUAGGCAAGUAUUUUAAAUAACAUUAUAUUUUUUUAGUAGAAAUACUUCUUCAUAAGAUUUAUUUAUAAAUAACAAGUCACUUUAGAUAUGGUUAUCUCCUACUUCCAUAUCAAUGUAGACUCUUAUAUGUGUGACGUCAUUUAUUAUGAACUUGAAAUGUACUAUCUUAAGUGUAUCCUAUAGAAAACACCAUCACAUUCAAGUCAAAUAAUAUAAAAAUUAAGUAAUAAAUGAAUAAUACAUAUUUUGAGAUCUUCACCAUUAACUUUUAUUUAUAUCGAGUAUCGGUGGUUAAAUAUGACUUUAGUAUUGAGUUAAGAUUUUAAUAAUAAAAAUAUAGUGUAAGGGAAAAUAAUGUUAAUAUUUUAAUACUUUUGCGUGUUGAAAGAAAGAAAACAAAUCUAAAAAUAACUAUAGUUUAAACUUCGUUAAUUUUAAUAAAAAGCAUCUUCAAAACCGUAUUUAGUAGUAUAUAUAAUUGUAUUAUUUCCAGUUAUUUAUUUUAUUUUGUAGAUGCUUUCUAAAUUUAAAGGAAGAACCCAGACUUUAACCAAAACAUAUUUCUAUCCAAAAUAAAUGUAUGGUUAUGGGAAAAAAUAGCCUACAAUUGAUCAUACAAUCCAUUCAUUAAAUAAUGGAGUACAAUACAAUGUGCUAUAAUGAACCCAACAACGUCUUGUUCUAGGUUUUGUAUAUUCAGUCAUUGAUUUCUAAAUUUUUAUAUGAAUGUUUACAAUAAUAUUUCAAGGUCAAGUUAGUACUUCCUCCGAAUAAAGAAUAUAAAGUAAAAAAAGUUAAGAAUUCAUUAAUUAAUACUUAGUUUGAAGAAAAAACAUAUAAUAAAAAGUUAUAUAUUUAUUAUUUUCAAUUCACCUAUUUAUAACGGUAUUCUUCUAGUUAAGAAGAAUGUCUUCCAACUAAAGAUUUAGUUUAGUCAAAAAUAGUUAUUUCCAACUAAAUUGUAGUUCUGUCUCAUACCAUCAUCUUCCUCUUUUAUUUAAUAAUUAUUUCUCUAUUAUAGUAUUUGUCUCAUUCUUAGAUACAUUCUUAGAUUAAUUACAAUCUCGCAUAUUCAGUUAAUGUUUGUCACUUUCAAUAAAAAAAAUAAAAAAAAAUUUCAUUAUUUUAAUAAAUAGAUCAAUAUCAUAACCGUUUUCAUCUAUUAUUGGAAUCGACUUAUGAUCUCACAGUUCUCAAAUUCCAACAUAAUCCAAUGAGACUAAUAAGAUCAUGAAGUAAUUAAUUAUAGGAUGUAUCUUAAAUUUUGACUGAAAUCCAUACCAUUGAGGUUGAUGCAAAAGUUCACAUAUACUAUUAUACCUCAUCUAUAGAAAUGAUUAAUUGAGAUCCAAAUAGACUUAGAUGCGCUUAAUCAUAAUUUAUAUAUUGUUUACUUUACUCUACUUAUUAAUUAUAUUAUUACACCCUUAAUUUCACUUUAGAGAUACUUGCAUCAUUCAGUGGUGAGAUGUUGGGAUAUCGAGUGUGAUAUCGACACCUCAUAUAUUCCGGUACAAUGCAUUUGAGGAAAAUAAAAACCGAUCAUAUGUAUAAUUUUUUGUUUUCUUCCAUGCUUGGUUGUCACUUAGGUCAAUUCAGCACGAACCAACAUACUCCAUUUCAUCUUCUCAUAAAUCGAAGACAAUAAUUCCAGGAAAUGAAAAUGGGGUAUGUUAAUAAAGAAAAAAAAUAAGAGAAAAUUGCACAUAAAUAAAAUUCAAUUGAGUUCUUAAAUUACAAUGAUAUUGAAAAGAGUAGAAAUAUAUAGUUAAUUUGGUGAAUAAACAAAGUAGGUUGGAAAAAUGCGAUGAAAGCAUGAUAAGAUAGUUGUGGUUGUCUGUGGAAAUGCGAAACCCCUCUUUCUUGUUUUGUUUUGCACAUAUUUUACAAGCAAAUCCGACAAACAGAAAGAAUUGCAUAAGUCCAAACCUACUGGUAUUAUUUAGACGUUAAUAAUUGCCAGCUUUUGCCAGCUCCUACUUCAUCAUUAAAAUAUAAUUUAAAAAAAUAGACACAGAAACAGUAGUGAAGACUUUGCUCCUCAGUCCCAAAAAAUGACAACGGGAUACACUGGAUUUCCACACUUUCUCACAUGCUCGUCUUUUUCAUUUUCUGCCACGUGUAUUGUAAUGUAGCAAGGUCCCUCUGGUUCCAGCUGCGCAAACCUCACUCUCUUCCUUCAUCAUCAUCAUCAUCAUCAUCUUCUACCACUACAGCCACAAUAAACAUGCAUACCGUAUUUUUUCUUUUCAAAUAUUAUACGUAUACUUUUUGAUAUUUUAUUUCCGUUUGAGUUGAGUAGUUGUUCUCCAUUUGCAACGGUUACCUAAUAUUAUUCUCUGUUUCCAUCUACCCCAUUAUCAACUACGUAUUGCAUAUAAAACAUUAGCGAUAAUGAAAGAAAGGGUCAUGUAUCUGCUUUCUCAAUCAUUAAUGCAAAAUUACCGAAUUUAAUGAUGUUACCAUUACGAAUGGAGAAAGGGUCAAACCAAAAAUAAAAAGUGCACCUUUUCAACUGGCGGACAAAGGACGAGACACGAGUGGCAUCAACGCGGGUAAAGCACCCCGCGUUUUACUACCAGACGGAACCCAUCAACGGGCUAUAAAGGACACACGUGUGAGUUCUAGAUCAACGGUCAAAACACAAGGGCACUCUAGUAAUAUCGUUAAACGACUUUAUGAGUUGUUGAAAAGUUAUGGUCUUUCCGAGGAAAGAAAAAGUAAAAAAUAAUAAUAAAAAUGGAUUUUUUUUCAUUAUUUUCAUAGUACACAUUUUGUUUUCAUUAAUGGAAUUUUAAAUUGUAUUAUUUUUUGUUGUUAGAACAAACAGAGGGCUAGAGUGAAAAUAAAUUUAACGGGGAGAGGAGAGAGAGUGGGAAGCAUAUGAGAAUAGGAAGAUGGGUGGAAAAAACGCCGUACAGAGGGGUGGCGGAUGACAGCGACUGCUCACUGACCCACAUAACUGACACGUGUCCUGACGCAAAAGGGUGUGGAGGUAAUAUUGAGCAAGCAUAAUGGAGAAAAAGGCAAAGAAGGAACACACAUUAACAAAAAUCAAUUGGGCAGAAGAUCCACAUAUGCCAGCUAAUAUUUUGCACAUUUACAGAAAGAGAGGAAAAAUUGUAGUAGAGGCGGAAGAAAGUUGAAAUGAAGAUAAAAUAAAAAAAAAGAAUAAAGAAUAAAAAAGUGGGAAUGGAGAGUUAAGUGUUGACCCAUUAUUAUUACUCACAUCACACCGGCCUGACCUAGUCCAGGGUAUUAGGGAAGAUGAGGAAUGGGGACAGGCAGCAUAGAAGGAGUAGAUGCACAUCACAACAUAUAAAAAUAUUAAUAUAUAUAGUAAGGUUGGGAAAAUAAUGAGAUAAAAAAAAUUGUGUGUGAGCAUAUAGAAGGAAAUUAAAUUAGGACAUUGGAGUUGGAGGAAUCUUUGAGCAUUAUUGAUGCAUUAAUCGCCACUCCUUCAACGGUUCAUAUCUUACCUCUUUUUAUAUAUUCUGUUCCCUUAUCAUCUUCCACUGCUCAACUCUCUCUCUCUCUCUCUCUAACACAAGCUUCCGUUUUUCUGUUUCUCUUCUCUCUACUCAGAACAUGGGUUCUUCUGCAGUACAAUUGUUUCUCAUCUUGGGGCUUCUGGCUACUUCUUGCAUAGCACAAGCCCCAGGUGGCGCACCCACGCAGCCUCCCACAACCACCCCACCACCACCGCCCGCAGCAGCACCAGUACCUGCACCCACUGCACCCGCAACUCCACCACCAUCUUCACCACCACCUGCACCCACACCCGCACCCACACCAACUGCUCCCACUCCUGCUCCAGCUUCUUCUCCUUCAUCUGCUGCAUCUCCCUCAGCUGAGUCACCAGGCUCUCCUACAUCUCCCCCAGCACCACCGGCCCCCUCAUCUGCACCUUCACCCUCAGUCAGCGAACCACCACCCUCACCCUCCUCCGCAUUCUCCGUUGGCAAGGCCUUCGUUGCCGGGUCUGCGCUCGCGGGAACCUUCGUAGCCAUGGUCUUGGCUUGAAGACAGACCUGACGGUUGGGAUUCGUCCACGUGGAGGCUCUUGGGCCCUUGAUCUUGUUUUACAGCGACGGACGGACGGACGGGAUCUGUUUCAUUUAUUUUAUCCUCUGGUCUUGUUGAGUAGCGGUUUUCUUUUUCUCUCUUUGGGGUUUUAUGUGUUAGUUUUGUUCGUUCGUGGUUGAUGUGUUUGUUGAUUCGAUAUCUGGGAGGGUUGGGUGUUGAUGAUGAUGAUGAUGAUGAUGAUGAUGGUGAUGGUAUUCAUGAUUAUGAUGAUUAUUUUGUGAUUCAUUGUUCUGGUGUUCACACGUGUACGUAGAUGACCUUGAUGAUUUCAUUGUACAUCUAAUAAUUGAAAGAAUAAAACAGUUUGUCAUUCUUUUUACUUACAAUCUUGUUCC
This 23562-nucleotide long non-coding RNA is filed under the name Phaseolus vulgaris (common bean). Its description in RNAcentral is "long non-coding RNA (PVUL_LNC004533)". The record is from RNAcentral. Lineage: Eukaryota; Viridiplantae; Streptophyta; Magnoliopsida; Fabales; Fabaceae.